RNAcentral lists this ribosomal RNA (548 nucleotides) under Salmonella enterica. RNAcentral describes it as "bacterial SSU rRNA". It matches the Rfam family "Bacterial small subunit ribosomal RNA", at positions 997 to 1533 of the family's 1533-position model. The record is from RNAcentral. Lineage: Bacteria; Pseudomonadati; Pseudomonadota; Gammaproteobacteria; Enterobacterales; Enterobacteriaceae.
AAUCCAGAGAUGGAUUUGUGCCUUCCGGAACUGUGAGACAGGUGCUGCAUGGCUGUCGUCAGCUCGUGUUGUGAAAUGUUGGGUUAAGUCCCGCAACGAGCGCAACCCUUAUCCUUUGUUGCCAGCGGUUAGGCCGGGAACUCAAAGGAGACUGCCAGUGAUAAACUGGAGGAAGGUGGGGAUGACGUCAAGUCAUCAUGGCCCUUACGACCAGGGCUACACACGUGCUACAAUGGCGCAUACAAAGAGAAGCGACCUCGCGAGAGCAAGCGGACCUCAUAAAGUGCGUCGUAGUCCGGAUUGGAGUCUGCAACUCGACUCCAUGAAGUCGGAAUCGCUAGUAAUCGUGGAUCAGAAUGCCACGGUGAAUACGUUCCCGGGCCUUGUACACACCGCCCGUCACACCAUGGGAGUGGGUUGCAAAAGAAGUAGGUAGCUUAACCUUCGGGAGGGCGCUUACCACUUUGUGAUUCAUGACUGGGGUGAAGUCGUAACAAGGUAACCGUAGGGGAACCUGCGGUUGGAUCACCUCCUUACCUUAAAGAAGC